RNAcentral lists this ribosomal RNA (253 nucleotides) under uncultured bacterium. RNAcentral describes it as "partial 16S ribosomal RNA". It matches the Rfam family "Bacterial small subunit ribosomal RNA", at positions 524 to 776 of the family's 1533-position model. The record is from RNAcentral.
UACGUAGGGUGCAAGCGUUAUCCGGAAUUAUUGGGCGUAAAGAGCUCGUAGGCGGUUUGUCGCGUCUGCUGUGAAAACUGGAGGCUCAACCUCCAGCCUGCAGUGGGUACGGGCAGACUAGAGUGCGGUAGGGGAGAUUGGAAUUCCUGGUGUAGCGGUGGAAUGCGCAGAUAUCAGGAGGAACACCGAUGGCGAAGGCAGAUCUCUGGGCCGCAACUGACGCUGAGGAGCGAAAGGAUGGGGAGCGAACAGG